This 1086-nucleotide long non-coding RNA is filed under the name Anas platyrhynchos platyrhynchos (common mallard). RNAcentral describes it as "lncRNA (ENSAPLG00000018180.1)". The record is from RNAcentral. Lineage: Eukaryota; Metazoa; Chordata; Aves; Anseriformes; Anatidae.
CAGCUAAGUAAUCUCCUUCCCUCCCCAGGCGUGAGCCCCCUCUGCCUCGCUCCACAUGGAGCCAUUUACACCUGCACUAAGCAGGGAUAAAGUGAAGCCAAUCUGAAUUCUGCACUGCCUUGCGCUCAAGGUUGCCUUUUACAUCUGUUUGGCAUUUGCAGAGCCCGACUGCAACCUUAGCUCAGCUGGUGGAGCCCUGGCAUUACAGCGGGGUGGUCAGGUCCCACAUUUGAGGUUUGGGGCUGGGGGAAUGGGAGUGGUUUUGGUGUGGGAAGAGGAAAAGAAAAUCAGCUCCUUGUGCCUGAGUGAGUGCAAAGCUGGGAGCUGCUGCUGCAGCCCUGCUGAGAUGGAAAGGCUGCCCACGGGCUCAGGAGGUCAUCACCCCACAUUACUUCAGUUUGGUUUUGCACGUGGGCCCUGGUGGUGCUGCUUGCAGGACCGUGUGUGUGCAGUGCUUGGUGUGCCCAGCCAGCUGAUUCCUGUGUUCUCCCAAGGAGAAUUCGUUCCUGGCAUGAUGCAGGUGGGUGCCUGGUUUAUGCCUUCGUGCCCGAGGAUUUACAGGGCAGCUGUGUGUGUGUGUGUAGGGAGGAGUGGGAAAAGCCCAGUCCCACCUCUUCCUUUUACUCCUUUUCAUUUUUGGGGGUUGAUUUGUGCCUUCUCCCCUAGGCUUGCCCAGCUGCACACAUGCUGCUGGCUCUGGAUCAGCAUCCUUGUUACUCCUCUGAGAGUGCCGUCUGUAGGUGAUAAUCUAGAGAAAUCAGUACGGAGUGAGAACCGGUAGUUUUGGCUCGGUGUGCAAUUUGCAAGUGCCUCGUUAUUGGCCCAAAGCUGCUUUAUUCUUAGUUUUUAUUUUUAUUUUGGAGAAGGCGUAGAAAAUGUCAAUGUUCUGCUUUUCUUUUUAAAUGGCCUCAGAUUACUGCGGCAGUUAUGGAAAUGUAUUUUAUUUUGUGUUUAGCACCAUCUUCAUUAGGCACCAGAGCAAUUCUCUCUUUACAGCCGAGCACAUCACAGAGAAUUAAUCGGCCUGUUCAGAGCUCGUAUUUUCAGGAGUCACUAAUAGUGAUGAGUGUGACGCUUCCUUCAAAU